This 1456-nucleotide ribosomal RNA is filed under the name uncultured organism. RNAcentral describes it as "SSU rRNA". It matches the Rfam family "Bacterial small subunit ribosomal RNA". The record is from RNAcentral.
CUGUCGGCAGGCCUAACACAUGGAAGUCGAACGGUAGCACAGAGGAGCUUGCUCCUUGGGUGACGAGUGGCGGACGGGUGAGUAAUGUCUGGGAAACUGCCCGAUGGAGGGGGAUAACUACUGGAAACGGUAGCUAAUACCGCAUAACGUCGCAAGACCAAAGAGGGGGACCUUCGGGCCUCUUGCCAUCGGAUGUGCCCAGAUGGGAUUAGCUAGUAGGUGGGGUAACGGCUCACCUAGGCGACGAUCCCUAGCUGGUCUGAGAGGAUGACCAGCCACACUGGAACUGAGACACGGUCCAGACUCCUACGGGAGGCAGCAGUGGGGAAUAUUGCACAAUGGGCGCAAGCCUGAUGCAGCCAUGCCGCGUGUAUGAAGAAGGCCUUCGGGUUGUAAAGUACUUUCAGCGAGGAGGAAGGUGUUGUGGUUAAUAACCGCAGCAAUUGACGUUACUCGCAGAAGAAGCACCGGCUAACUCCGUGCCAGCAGCCGCGGUAAUACGGAGGGUGCAAGCGUUAAUCGGAAUUACUGGGCGUAAAGCGCACGCAGGCGGUCUGUCAAGUCGGAUGUGAAAUCCCCGGGCUCAACCUGGGAACUGCAUCCGAAACUGGCAGGCUAGAGUCUUGUAGAGGGGGGUAGAAUUCCAGGUGUAGCGGUGAAAUGCGUGGAGAUCUGGAGGAGUACCGGUGGCGAAGGCGGCCCCCUGCACAAAGACUGACGCUCAGGUGCGAAAGCGUGGGGAGCAAACAGGAUUAGAUACCCUGGUAGUCCACGCCGUAAACGAUGUCGACUUGGAGGUUGUGCCCUUGAGGCGUGGCUUCCGGAGCUAACGCGUUAAGUCGACCGCCUGGGGAGUACGGCCGCAAGGUUAAAACUCAAAUGAAUUGACGGGGGCCCGCACAAGCGGUGGAGCAUGUGGUUUAAUUCGAUGCAACGCGAAGAACCUUACCUACUCUUGACAUCCAGAGAACUUAGCAGAGAUGCUUUGGUGCCUUCGGGAACUCUGAGACAGGUGCUGCAUGGCUGUCGUCAGCUCGUGUUGUGAAAUGUUGGGUUAAGUCCCGCAACGAGCGCAACCCUUAUCCUUUGUUGCCAGCGGUUAGGCCGGGAACUCAAAGGAGACUGCCAGUGAUAAACUGGAGGAAGGUGGGGAUGACGCCAAGUCAUCAUGGCCCUUACGAGUAGGGCUACACACGUGCUACAAUGGCAUAUACAAAGAGAAGCGACCUCGCGAGAGCAAGCGGACCUCAUAAAGUAUGUCGUAGUCCGGAUUGGAGUCUGCAACUCGACUCCAUGAAGUCGGAAUCGCUAGUAAUCGUGGAUCAGAAUGCCACGGUGAAUACGUUCCCGGGCCUUGUACACACCGCCCGUCACACCAUGGGAGUGGGUUGCAAAAGAAGUAGGUAGCUUAACCUUCGGGAGGGCGCUUACCACUUUGUGAUUCAUGACUGGGGUG